UACGAAGGGGGCUAGCGUUGCUCGGAAUCACUGGGCGUAAAGGGCGCGUAGGCGGCCAGCACAAGUCAGUUGUGAAAUCUCCGGGCUUAACUCGGAAAGGUCAACUGAUACUGUGCGGCUAGAGUGCGGAAGGGGCAACUGGAAUUCUCGGUGUAGCGGUGAAAUGCGCAGAUAUCGGGAAGAACACCCGUGGCGAAGGCGGCUCUCUGGGACGGUACUGACGCUGAGACGCGAAAGCGUGGGGAGCGAACAGG
Molecule: ribosomal RNA, 254 nt
Filed under: uncultured bacterium
Lineage: Bacteria
Description: partial 16S ribosomal RNA
Rfam family: Bacterial small subunit ribosomal RNA
Source: RNAcentral